GUCAGUACUCUGAGAAUUUACUUGUUAUUAAUGAUAGAUGUUUGGUUUUUUUACAGGAUUAAGGAAGAUGAAUCGCCCUCCUUUAAUGUGGAAUACACUUGAUAACUCUAAAUAAUCAUCCUAAAAACCGCUUCUACAGUUUUCUCAUUUUUUGCUUCAUACAAAGCAAGUGUAUUAAAAUUAAAUUAAAUAGAACUCUUCGGCUUUAAUGGACUAGCUUUGACUGGCAUAUGGUUUUGGAUAUCAAACGAACUGUGUCUUUGUCUGCUGUAAUCUCUCUGGAUAGAGCGACUGGUGAAGAGGAGUGGGAAGAAUGCAGAAUUAGUAGAUAAUUCCCUGAUGUCAGUAGUAAGCAAGCUAUCCAGGAUAAAACCAGG
This 377-nucleotide long non-coding RNA is filed under the name Apteryx rowi (Okarito brown kiwi). Its description in RNAcentral is "lncRNA (ENSARWG00000017580.1)". Lineage: Eukaryota; Metazoa; Chordata; Aves; Apterygiformes; Apterygidae. The record is from RNAcentral.